UGAUUGAGUUGUCAUGGGUAUGUGCGCU
Molecule: non-coding RNA, 28 nt
Filed under: Bombyx mori (domestic silkworm)
Lineage: Eukaryota; Metazoa; Arthropoda; Insecta; Lepidoptera; Bombycidae
Source: RNAcentral